CUGACAGUUUGGCUUCCCUGUUCCAGGUGGCAAAGCCUGUGGGGUAUUCACCUACCUGCUGCAUGAAGGCAGCAUGGAGGGACUGUGGUGGAUUAUCUGCAAAGAUGGCCCAAAUUCUCUCAUCCCUGCAGGUACAUACAAGGUUGUUGCAUGGCAUAAGUAAAAUGACAGCUAUAGAAUAUGUGCAACUUUUCAGUGACAAAGACCUGUGAAGCAUUGACAGUACCACCUAAUGAGGUUUCACGAUAACUAAGUAUCACAACCAGUUUACAGACCAGAAAACUGAGACACAGGAAGGGUUGGUGACUUGAGCAAGGUGCAUCAGCUGCCAGGUUUCCAGAAGUUCCCUAGUCAUUGGGCAUUUCUGAGACUCUUGAUGCAUAUGCCAAGUAGUUAUGGAGAAAGACAUAGCCGCUUACCUCUGCAGGCAUCAUUGUGUGAAAGGAAGACCGAGGCUGUCUCACCACCCUUGAAGAGAAGCCUUUUGCUAAGGUGAUAGCUGCAUGUCCAAGCCUAUUGCGUGGCAUGGAUUUUGCCUUCUACAGCCCACUAAAGGAAAUUGAGGUGUACGGAAUGCUUAUUUGGUUGACUCAGUAUCAUCCUAAAUGUAUGAACUAAUGUUUAGGAGUUUGCAGUUCACCCGCAAACCUCAGCGAUCCAAGCUCCCCUGGAUGACCAUCACUCACCUAGAAAAGAACAAUAACAGGACCUGUUUUGCUAAUCCAGGACUGUUCUCCAGCACUAACUCUAAA
RNAcentral lists this long non-coding RNA (752 nucleotides) under Pongo abelii (Sumatran orangutan). RNAcentral describes it as "lincRNA". The record is from RNAcentral. Lineage: Eukaryota; Metazoa; Chordata; Mammalia; Primates; Hominidae.